UACGAAGGGGGCUAGCGUUGUUCGGAAUUACUGGGCGUAAAGCGUAUGCAGGCGGGUCGAUAAGUCAGUGGUGAAAUCCCGAGGCUCAACCUCGGAACUGCCUCUGAUACUGUCGAUCUUGAGUCCGGGAGAGGUGAGUGGUACUGCGAGUGUAGAGGUGAAAUUCGUAGAUAUUCGCAAGAACACCAGUGGCGAAGGCGGCUCACUGGCCCGGUACUGACGCUGAGAUACGAAAGCGUGGGGAGCAAACAGG
Molecule: ribosomal RNA, 253 nt
Filed under: uncultured bacterium
Lineage: Bacteria
Description: partial 16S ribosomal RNA
Rfam family: Bacterial small subunit ribosomal RNA
Source: RNAcentral